AUUGAACGCUGGCGGCAUGCCUUACACAUGCAAGUCGAACGGCAGCAUGGAAGAGCUUGCUCUUCUGAUGGCGAGUGGCGAACGGGUGAGUAAAGCAUCGGAACGUACCGUGUAGUGGGGGAUAACGUAGCGAAAGUUACGCUAAUACCGCAUACGCCCUACGGGGGAAAGCAGGGGACCUUCGGGCCUUGCGCGAUUGGAGCGGCCGAUAUCAGAUUAGGUAGUUGGUAGGGUAAAAGCCUACCAAGCCUGCGAUCUGUAGCUGGUCUGAGAGGACGACCAGCCACACUGGAACUGAGACACGGUCCAGACUCCUACGGGAGGCAGCAGUGGGGAAUUUUGGACAAUGGACGCAAGUCUGAUCCAGCCAUUCCGCGUGCAGGAUGAAGGCCCUCGGGUUGUAAACUGCUUUUGUACGGAACGAAAAGGUCUCUCUUAAUACGGGGGGCUCAUGACGGUACCGUAAGAAUAAGCACCGGCUAACUACGUGCCAGCAGCCGACGG
This 504-nucleotide ribosomal RNA is filed under the name uncultured bacterium. RNAcentral's name for it is "bacterial SSU rRNA". It matches the Rfam family "Bacterial small subunit ribosomal RNA", at positions 30 to 520 of the family's 1533-position model. The record is from RNAcentral.